Molecule: ribosomal RNA, 364 nt
Filed under: uncultured bacterium
Lineage: Bacteria
Description: bacterial SSU rRNA
Rfam family: Bacterial small subunit ribosomal RNA
Source: RNAcentral
GACAAACGCUGGCGGCGUGCGUAAAACAUGCAAGUCGCACGGAGCUUCGGCUCAGUGGCAGACGGCUGAGUAACGCGUAGGGAUCUACCGCUCGGUGGGGAAUAACGGCCCGAAAGGGUCGCUAAUACCGCAUACGACCACCUUUCGGGGUGAGGAAAGCCGUAAGGCGCCGAACGAGGAACCUGCGUCCGAUUAGCUAGUUGGUGGGGUAACGGCCUACCAAGGCGUCGAUCGGUAGCUGGUCUGAGAGGAUGACCAGCCAGACUGGAACUGGGACACGGCCCAGACUCCUACGGGAGGCAGCAGUUAGGAAUUUUGGGCAAUGGCCGCAAGGCUGACCCAGCAACGCCGCGUGGGGGACGAA